RNAcentral lists this ribosomal RNA (116 nucleotides) under Bacillus sp. ISL-57. Lineage: Bacteria; Bacillati; Bacillota; Bacilli; Caryophanales; Bacillaceae. The record is from RNAcentral.
UUUGGUGGCGAUAGCGAAGAGGUCACACCCGUUCCCAUUCCGAACACGGCAGUUAAGCUCUUCAGCGCCAAUGGUAGUUGGGGGUUUCACCCUGUGAGAGUAGGACGCCGCCAAGC